CCUACGGGAGGCAGCAGUGAGGAAUUUUCCGCAAUGGGCGAAAGCCUGACGGAGCAAUGCCGCGUGAGGGAAGAAGGCCCGUGGGUCGUAAUCCUCUUUUCUCAGAGAAGAAUAAAUGACG
Molecule: ribosomal RNA, 121 nt
Filed under: uncultured bacterium
Lineage: Bacteria
Description: partial 16S ribosomal RNA
Rfam family: Bacterial small subunit ribosomal RNA
Source: RNAcentral